This 292-nucleotide ribosomal RNA is filed under the name uncultured bacterium. RNAcentral's name for it is "partial 16S ribosomal RNA". It matches the Rfam family "Bacterial small subunit ribosomal RNA", at positions 505 to 796 of the family's 1533-position model. The record is from RNAcentral.
GUGUCAGCAGCCGCGGUAAUACGUAGGGUCCAAGCGUUAUCCGGAAUCACUGGGCGUAAAGCGUGCGUAGGUGGCGUGUUAAGUGUGAUGUUAAAUCGUGGGGCUCAACCCUGUCGGUGCAUCACAUACUGGCAUGCUAGAGGACAGCAGAGGCAAGUGGAAUUUGUAGUGUAGCAGUGAAAUGCGUAGAUAUUACAAGGAACACCAAUGGCGAAGGCAGCUUGCUGGGCUACUCCUGACACUGAGGUACGAAAGCGUGGGGAGCGAACAGGAUUAGAAACCCUUGUAGUCC